This 102-nucleotide Y RNA is filed under the name Prolemur simus (greater bamboo lemur). RNAcentral describes it as "Y RNA (ENSPSMG00000014135.1)". It matches the Rfam family "Y RNA". From Rfam's summary of the family: Y RNAs are components of the Ro ribonucleoprotein particle (Ro RNP), in association with Ro60 and La proteins. The Y RNAs and Ro60 and La proteins are well conserved, but the function of the Ro RNP is not known. In humans the RNA component can be one of four small RNAs -- hY1, hY3, hY4 and hY5. Lineage: Eukaryota; Metazoa; Chordata; Mammalia; Primates; Lemuridae. The record is from Rfam by way of RNAcentral.
UGCUGGUCCGAGUACUGUGGUGUUUACAACUAAUUGAUCACAACCAGUUACAGAUUCCUUUGUUCCUUCUCCACUCCCACUGCUUCACUUGACUAGCCUAAA